CGAAACUUCGCGGCCAGAUGCCCGAGGGCGCGGCGGCGCUGCGAGGCUGCUGCUGUUGCCCCUGCGGGCCCCGGGCGCGUCUCCGCGGGCGGCGCUGCCCGCGGCGCGGCGUGUGCACCGAGCGAGUGAAGGACGCUGGCAGCAGCAGCCCGGAGCCCCCGAGCCCUCGGCAGGUCUGCCCGUCCUUCCCCGCGAUCUGAUUGGAUAAAGUGGGGGCUCGACGGUGGCCGACGUGGGACAGUCUGGCUGCGGCCGGGGUCUCGGAAACCAUGGGUUAUUGCGGUGGCAGGUGCACGCUUAUCUUUAUCUGUGGCAUGCAACUGGUUUGUGUGCUGGAGAGGCAAAUAUUUGACUUCCUUGGAUAUCAGUGGGCACCUAUCCUGGCAAAUUUUGUACAUAUUAUUAUCGUCAUUCUUGGUUUAUUUGGAACCAUUCAAUAUAGACCUCGUUACAUAACAGGAUAUGCUGUCUGGCUAGUCCUCUGGGUUACGUGGAAUGUGUUUGUUAUCUGCUUCUAUUUGGAGGCUGGGGACCUCUCAAAGGAAACAGACCUUAUCCUGACUUUUAAUAUUUCAAUGCACCGAUCUUGGUGGAUGGAGAAUGGACCAGGGUGUAUGGUGACAUCAGUGACUCCCGCCCCAGACUGGGCCCCAGAAGACCAUCGCUACAUCACGGUCUCAGGGUGUUUUCUGGAGUACCAGUACAUAGAAGUGGCUCAUAGUUCCCUCCAGAUUGUCCUCGCACUGGCAGGGUUCAUCUACGCCUGUUAUGUUGUGAAAUGUAUAACUGAAGAAGAGGACAGCUUUGAUUUCAUAGGUGGCUUUGACUCUUACGGCUAUCAGGGGCCUCAGAAGACAUCUCAUUUACAGCUGCAGCCGAUGUACAUGCAAAUUCCCUUGGAUAACAACUGAUAACAAAUUCUAUAUAUCAGCAUCAGGUGAUAUGCUGAAUUGCAAGCGAAGAUCAAAAUAGAAAGUCAAAAUAACACAAAUGGCUUCAAUACAUCAGCUCCUGGACCUUUCAAAGAACUUGUUUUGCGGUGGCCUCCUGCAUUUUUUGAAGAGCAAGAAGCAACGAAGUUUAAUACAUACUAACAAAACAUAAAGCCUCCACAUGCACUGGGAGGGACACACACGCACACACCGGCACACACCAAUUCUCCCUGGCCUCAUCUUUCUAUCUGAAACAGACAAACACGCAGGACGCGCCCCUCGUGGAUUUCCUGAAUGCAGGCUGCUUUCUCCCAGGGCUUUGCAAAGUUCACAAGGAAACGCGUUGGCGCCCUCUGCUGGCCGUCACUAACUCCUCUACAGCCCAGCCGGGCGGCCUCUGCCGGCUGCGAAGUCAUCCGGGGCACGGUCUGCCCUCCAUAUGUCUUGAUAGCACCAGGGCUAUGUAGGCAAUGUAAUUGCAAAAACACACACACAAACAUGCCAUGAUGACCUUGUAGCCGAAGUCUGAAGUGGCAGGUGUUUGCCCUAAAGGCUGUACCGUACAUACUUGCCUUAACCCACCUAAGUUGUGCGCCUGAGAGUCCUCAGUGCAGACAUCCCCAAGUCACCUCCUUUAGGCUAACACACUGCUGUUAAUUCCGAAUGAGUUCAAGUCUGUAUGCGUGUCAUGUCAAGAAACAGGACUACAUAGUUCAGCAGCUCCAGUGUGUCUGUGUAUGAAAACUGCCAACUGUCAGCCAAGUGCUUUUACCAUUGAGCCUCCACGGUGGCCAAAAAGAGACAAGUAACAGUAACAAAGUAAUAAUCGUCAUCUUUAUAAUUCUUCAACAAGGUCUUCUGAGGGGGUUGGGUGGGACAAAGCAAAACAUAUUAAUCUACUAAACUCAUUAAUCUACGGGGAAGCAGAGAACAGAAAUGGCUUAACUCACUGAUUUUAUUUAUUGCACUCUAGGUGCUUUUUUAAGUAUCUACAAAUGUCUUUUACUAACACAGAAACAGCUGUGGAUUUCUAUCAACAGAGGCCAACUGAAUAUGUAUUAGCUAUGUUUACUCUUUUAUAUCUAAUUCAAAUGGAAGCCCCUAGGUAGGUGAACUUUUUUUCCUAACUUGAGCGUACGAGAUUAUUUUUUGGGUGGGUGGGGGGAAACAAUAGUUACCUUGGUGAAAUAUUUGAGAUCUCUUUGUGGUAAUUGGGGGAUCUGUUGUGUGUUAGAGUGUAUUUUAAUCCUCCUGUAUUAUUGUGGCAGAAAAACUGUGCUGUUAAUGUAGUUGGCAACAAGAUGCCUUUGGAAACUUAAUAGUAGGUCAAUGUGUUUAUGGAAUAUUCUGAAUUCCUAGGAAAUUUUGUUCUAUAUAUUCAAGCAUUAUUUGAUUUUCAUUAGUGAAAAACAUAAUUAGCUCAGGCUUGUCAGGAACUCAGAUGAGUCAUUUUCUUUUUGAUCCACCUGAGACACUAAAAUCAAUUUUUUAGGACUAUUAAUAAUACACCAUCUUUAAAUGCAGUGAAAUUUGGACUUGAAAAGUUAUAAAUUGGCAUGGAGCAACUUUUUCUCUUGGUUUCUAUGAAGUUUCAGUUACUGGGUUAACCUACUUUGAAUGUUAGCCCAUCCAAAGCUACAUAAACCAGUCCCAUUACUGUGUCUGCAUGGAUGUCUGUGAUCUACACACAUAUGCAUUUGAAGAUAACAAAGGAACAAAGGUUACUAGUAGAACAUAAACUACAAAAAAAAUAGUUCCAGCACUUGUGCUUGAAUUUUCUCAGUGGUUUGUAUGUUUGUCCAUAUAUACAUGCAUAAAAUAUACAGUCACAAAUAUGUCAGUGAAACCUCAUAUGAUGAUUUUAUAGUGACAUGCAUGUUUAAUGUAUGAGAAAAAUAUUUACCAAUGUAUCAUCCUUUGAUUCUUAAAAUAGAAAUACUACACAUGCCAGAAAUUAUUCUAAUGUGACUAUUAACAUGAGGUUUCACUGUACAUUCACGCUGUGAUGAGAUUCCACCCUUCUAAGACAUGUAUAUGGAUAGAGAUUUAAAUGCACAGAGAACAAAACCCUCAUAUUCCUGCUUUACGUUGCAGCCAAGUUACCAUCUAAUCACUAUGAUCAUCACCACCAAAAUUUUCAAAACCAGUUGUUGACUACUAAACAGGAAUCAGUGAACAGGGAGCACAGUAGUGUGAUUCUAUCUGGAGAAACAUCUAAGGUGUACAGCUGUAUCCUCCUCAAAAUCCGGUGAAGAAUGCUAUUUUUCUAGGCUGAGCUUUUGUUAUAAACCUAAUAUUCAGAAGGCAAGAGUUACAAUCCUGAUGUGUCUUUCUUUCUUUUGCAUUUGUUAAUUAUGAAUGUAUUUUUAACAGAGUGAUUUUUUUGACUUACUAGUGUAAUUUGCAUUUUAAAAAUAAAUGGAAAAACCACCAAGUUUCUGGGCC
Molecule: RNA transcript, 3377 nt
Organism: Cervus elaphus (red deer)
Lineage: Eukaryota; Metazoa; Chordata; Mammalia; Artiodactyla; Cervidae
Gene: NKAIN2
Gene name: sodium/potassium transporting ATPase interacting 2
Exons: 9
Source: RefSeq, a predicted model, not a curated record